RNAcentral lists this ribosomal RNA (465 nucleotides) under uncultured Klebsiella sp. RNAcentral describes it as "bacterial SSU rRNA". It matches the Rfam family "Bacterial small subunit ribosomal RNA", at positions 338 to 795 of the family's 1533-position model. The record is from RNAcentral. Lineage: Bacteria; Pseudomonadati; Pseudomonadota; Gammaproteobacteria; Enterobacterales; Enterobacteriaceae.
CCUACGGGGGGCAGCAGUGGGGAAUAUUGCACAAUGGGCGCAAGCCUGAUGCAGCCAUGCCGCGUGUGUGAAGAAGGCCUUCGGGUUGUAAAGCACUUUCAGCGGGGAGGAAGGCGGUGAGGUUAAUAACCUCAUCGAUUGACGUUACCCGCAGAAGAAGCACCGGCUAACUCCGUGCCAGCAGCCGCGGUAAUACGGAGGGUGCAAGCGUUAAUCGGAAUUACUGGGCGUAAAGCGCACGCAGGCGGUCUGUCAAGUCGGAUGUGAAAUCCCCGGGCUCAAGCUGGGAACUGCAUUCGAAACUGGCAGGCUAGAGUCUGGUAGAGGGGGGUAGAAUUCCAGGUGUAGCGGUGAAAUGCGUAGAGAUCUGGAGGAAUACCGGUGGCGAAGGCGGCCCCCUGGACAAAGACUGACGCUCAGGUGCGAAAGCGUGGGGAGCAAACAGGAUUAGAUACCCUAGUAGUC